UACACACCGCCCGUCACACCAUGGGAGUUGGUUUUACCCGAAGGCGGUGCGCUAACCAGCAAUGGAGGCAGCCGACCACGGUAGGGUCAGCGACUGGGGUG
This 101-nucleotide ribosomal RNA is filed under the name uncultured bacterium. RNAcentral's name for it is "partial 16S ribosomal RNA". It matches the Rfam family "Bacterial small subunit ribosomal RNA", at positions 1384 to 1482 of the family's 1533-position model. The record is from RNAcentral.